AAUCAACGCUGGCGGCGUGCCUAACACAUGCAAGUCGAACGAGAAAGUGGAGCAAUCCAUGAGUAAAGUGGCGACCGGGUGAGUAACACGUGACUAACCUACCCUAGAGUGGGGAAUAACCUCGGGAAACCGGGGCUAAUACCGCAUAACAUCACGAGGGGAAGAUCCUUGUGAUCAAAGGAGCAAUUCGCUCAAGGAGGGGGUCGCGGCUGAUUAGCUAGUUGGUGAGGUAACGGCCCACCAAGGCUUAGAUCAGUAGCCGGCCUGAGAGGGCGCACGGCCACACUGGAACUGAAACACGGUCCAGACUCCUACGGGAGGCAGCAGUGGGGAAUUUUGCGCAAUGGGGGAAACCCUGACGCAGCAACGCCGCGUGGAGGAUGAAGUCCCUUGGGAUGUAAACUCCUUUCGAUCGGGACGAUAAUGACGGUACCGGAAGAAGAAGCACCGGCUAACUCUGUGCCAGCAGCCGCGGUAAUACAGAGGGUGCAAGCGUUGUUCGGAAUUAUUGGGCGUAAAGGGUGCGUAGGCGGUGCGGUAAGUCUGUAGUGAAAUCUCUGGGCUCAACUCAGAGUCUGCUAUAGAAACUGCCG
Molecule: ribosomal RNA, 593 nt
Filed under: uncultured bacterium
Lineage: Bacteria
Description: bacterial SSU rRNA
Rfam family: Bacterial small subunit ribosomal RNA
Source: RNAcentral